This 416-nucleotide long non-coding RNA is filed under the name Homo sapiens (human). Its description in RNAcentral is "HSALNT0316791". Lineage: Eukaryota; Metazoa; Chordata; Mammalia; Primates; Hominidae. The record is from RNAcentral.
CGAGACUCCAGCACACAGCGAAUGUCCUCGCCAUUCUAUUCAAAGAGAAGAGUCAUCCUGGAACAGCCGUGCUGGAACUCUCAGAACUCAGUGUGCUUGAGGGGUAUGUGGAUCUGUCUUUUGGUUGUGGGUACUUUAAGUGAUGAGAAGUUUAAUGUCAGGAGGCACAUGGCGCAACAGGAGACUCCAAGAACAAAAGUCACAGUACAUCCAGGACUCCAGGAAGUGGGGCUGGAUCCAAGGCAGCCUGAACUGGCAGCAGCAGAAGUUAAUGCGGCUUCACUGGUAUGCUCCAGAAUAUGUGAUUUUGCUGUUACCCACGUAUUAAAUUCCCGAGAGUUAGAAUUUGUUUCAACCACUAUCUCAGCAGUCAUCCACAGCUGAAGGAAGAGAAGGCACAUCAUGCGAUGUAAAUA